RNAcentral lists this ribosomal RNA (323 nucleotides) under uncultured bacterium. RNAcentral describes it as "bacterial SSU rRNA". It matches the Rfam family "Bacterial small subunit ribosomal RNA", at positions 28 to 334 of the family's 1533-position model. The record is from RNAcentral.
GACGAACGCUGGCGGCGUGCUUAACACAUGCAAGUCGAACGAGAAUCUGUGGAUUGAGGAUUCGUCCAAAUGAAGCAGAGGAAAGUGGCGGACGGGUGAGUAACGCGUGAGGAACCUGCCUUUCAGAGGGGGACAACAGUUGGAAACGACUGCUAAUACCGCAUAACACAUAAGGGCCGCAUGGUCUUUAUGUCAAAGAUUUAUCGCUGAAAGAUGGCCUCGCGUCUGAUUAGCUGGUUGGUAAGGUAACGGCUUACCAAGGCAACGAUCAGUAGCCGACCUGAGAGGGUGACCGGCCACAUUGGGACUGAGACACGGCCCAA